CGCUUCUUUUUCCACCGGAGCUUGCUCCACCGGAAAAAGAGGAGUGGCGAACGGGUGAGUAACACGUGGGUAACCUGCCCAUCAGAAGGGGAUAACACUUGGAAACAGGUGCUAAUACCGUAUAACAAUCAAAACCGCAUGGUUUUGAUUUGAAAGGCGCUUUCGGGUGUCGCUGAUGGAUGGACCCGCGGUGCAUUAGCUAGUUGGUGAGGUAACGGCUCACCAAGGCCACGAUGCAUAGCCGACCUGAGAGGGUGAUCGGCCACAUUGGGACUGAGACACGGCCCAAACUCCUACGGGAGGCAGCAGUAGGGAAUCUUCGGCAAUGGACGAAAGUCUGACCGAGCAACGCCGCGUGAGUGAAGAAGGUUUUCGGAUCGUAAAACUCUGUUGUUAGAGAAGAACAAGGAUGAGAGUAACUGUUCAUCCCUUGACGGUAUCUAACCAGAAAGCCACGGCUAACUACGUGCCAGCAGCCGCGGUAAUACGUAGGUGGCAAGCGUUGUCCGGAUUUAUUGGGCGUAAAGCGAGCGCAGGCGGUUUCUUAAGUCUGAUGUGAAAGCCCCCGGCUCAACCGGGGAGGGUCAUUGGAAACUGGGAGACUUGAGUGCAGAAGAGGAGAGUGGAAUUCCAUGUGUAGCGGUGAAAUGCGUAGAUAUAUGGAGGAACACCAGUGGCGAAGGCGGCUCUCUGGUCUGUAACUGACGCUGAGGCUCGAAAGCGUGGGGAGCAAACAGGAUUAGAUACCCUGGUAGUCCACGCCGUAAACGAUGAGUGCUAAGUGUUGGAGGGUUUCCGCCCUUCAGUGCUGCAGCUAACGCAUUAAGCACUCCGCCUGGGGAGUACGACCGCAAGGUUGAAACUCAAAGGAAUUGACGGGGGCCCGCACAAGCGGUGGAGCAUGUGGUUUAAUUCGAAGCAACGCGAAGAACCUUACCAGGUCUUGACAUCCUUUGACCACUCUA
Molecule: ribosomal RNA, 965 nt
Filed under: Enterococcus faecium
Lineage: Bacteria; Bacillati; Bacillota; Bacilli; Lactobacillales; Enterococcaceae
Description: bacterial SSU rRNA
Rfam family: Bacterial small subunit ribosomal RNA
Source: RNAcentral